Molecule: long non-coding RNA, 4976 nt
Filed under: Homo sapiens (human)
Lineage: Eukaryota; Metazoa; Chordata; Mammalia; Primates; Hominidae
Description: HSALNT0069783
Source: RNAcentral
ACAGUCUUCUUGCAUAUCUGGGCUCAGUCUCUGUACUCUCACUGCAAGCCUGAGAGGAAUGCAUUGAGAGGAUGGCAUGAGGAAGCACUUUUUCCUAUGUGAGGUCUUGAGAUUUUUCAUGCCAAAUGAUGUGGGAUCUGGAAAGAUGGGCGAAUAGGAAUAGCUCUGGUCUACAGCUCCCAGCAAAACCAACACAGAAGGAACUGCCAUACUUUUUUACACAGCAGCUGCACCAUUUUACAUUCCCACCAGCAAUGCACAACGGUUCUGAUUUCUCUAUGUCUUGUGAUUACUGCUGAAAGCAUCCUGAGUGACACAAACUUGAAGCAUGCAAGAGGACUAAAUAACUUCCAAAGUCACACAUAUUGCAUGUCAAGAGCCAGCUUCAAACUCAAGUCCCUGUGACCAGAGGUCGAUGCUCUAAACACAUUUCUGCAUGACCUGCUUGUGGCAGCCUGGAGAAAUUCUACAUAAAUCUUCUCAGAUUCCAGAGGCUGCGAGGUCUGAGAUCAAGGAUCUGACACCUGGUGAGGGCCUUUUUGCUGCAUCAUUUCACAUAGAGACAAAAAGAUUCUCACCUGUAAGCUUGAAUUAUGUCUACAUCAUGCUUGGGAAAUGUCCAUAUAUUCUAAGCUUGAAACUGCAGUGAUGAGGACGUCACCACUUCCAGAGAGAACACUUUACUACCAGGCAACUUGAGUACAAUAGGCAGCCACAAAUAUCAUCCUUGCUAGCCAGGAAUGACAAGGAGCAAGCCACAUGAGGAGUCAGAAAAGAUUAUUCCAGGCAGGGCUGAGAUCUGCAUUAUGGUCUGGAGGCUGCCCCAGUCUCUCCUUUACCUCCAUAUUUUUCUCACAGAGAAAGGGUCUCACUGUUCUGCUCAGGCUGGACUAGAACUCCUGGGUUCAAGUGAUGUUCCUGCUGCAGCUUCUUCAGUAGCUGUGACUACAGACGAACCACAUUGGUCUCUGAAAGGAGAAUGGACCUGGAGAACAAGACAGGAAGACAAUAUCAGAAACUGAAGAAAAGGAAAAGAAAUUUAUCCAAGAUAGGAGUCUACAGAAUCUGGCUCUCUCUAUAUAUGAUGAUGAUUUUACAAGGAACAUGCACCAUGAAAGGCCAUGUGAGCACACAGCAAGAUGAAAUCUUCCAUCUGCAAGCCAGGAAGAAAGCCUUCACUAGAACCUAACCAUUAUGGAACCCUAACCUUUGACUUCCCGCCUCCAGAUUGCCAGAAAAUGUCUGUUGUUUAAUCUACACUGUUUAUGGUAUUUUAUUACAGCGGCCCAAGUAGACUGAGACAACUGGAGAGCUACUUUGUUUCCUGUGUGUAUGUGUUUUCAGUUCAGCUUUUAUUUGCUUUUCUUUCUCUUUCCCCUCUCCUUGCUCCCUUUCUCUUUCCACUUUCCCACUUUUUUUUUUUUUUUUUUUUCUUAAAAUUAGACCCAAAAACCUGUCCUUGAGACAGCCAAGUUGGCCUUUAAGGGCAGCGUUUACAUGACUUCCAGUCUUUUCUUAAUUGACUAUCUCUGAAAAAUGUAGUAGGCCACUUUAAUUUUCAUACUUUUAGUCUUUCUUCCCACAUAUUGCAGCAUCACACCUUCUAUUCCUCAAUGCCUCUUGUCCUCCUUGCCCAACAUGUUCAGAAUCUAUGCUAAAGAAAGGGCUGUUCCUAUGUGAGUGCAUGCUAUGUGCAUAAGAGAAUGGUACUUUCUCAUUGCAGAGAAAAAUAGAUAAAUAAAUAAAACCUUUUUCCUCUCUUGUGGGCUGAAAUAUGUUCUCCCAAAAUUUACAUAUUGAAGCCCUGAUCCCUAGUACCUCAGAAUGUUACUGCAUUUGUAGGUAGUACAUUACAGAAGGUAAUAAAGUUAAAAUUAGGCCAUAGUGUGAGUCUUAAUGGUAUCUCACUAGUGUCCUUACAAGAGAAGAUUAGGGUUUACAGAGAAACACUAAGAUUUCACAGGCACACACUAAGAAAAAAAGACCAUAUUAAGGGACAGUGAGAAGAUGGUCAUUUCCAAGUGAAGGAGAGAGGCCUGAAAAGAAACCAAACCAGCUGAUACCUUGAUCUUGGACUUCCAGCCUCCAAAAUAAAUUUGUACAGUUUAAGCCCAUCUUGUCCAUGCUAUAUUGUUACAGCAGCAUGCGCAAACUAGUACCUCCUUUUUAAGGCAUUUGGAACAUUGAUGAGAGAGGGGUGUGAUUUUUGAGGGCAGAAAAUCUCAGCACGUUUGAUAUCACAUCAGUAAACAAUAAUCUACUCUACAUUGGCUUUGAUGAGCAAGUAGGAUUUUUAUUCUAGUUUGGCUUAGAAUCAUAAAAUCAUAAUAACCUUAGAUACUACCUAUUUCAAUCUCCUCAUUUUAUAUGUAAUGAUACAGAGGUGCAUAUGGAAGAACUGACUUGUCCAAAGCCCCACAUUAGUUUUUGAUCAAGUCAGGACUACAGUUCAAAUACUUCAACUUCCAGUGCUCUUUUUGGCUACUGUAUAAAAUGUCAUAUCUCAUUUUUAUGUUUUUCCAUCAAUUCUGUUGUAUUUACUAACCAUCAUAGUCUAAGCAUUUACCUUUUCAAAAUAUUUUUGUUUUCUCUCAAGUAUUUAUUUUGGAAUACAUAUUUUUUCUACCUGAGUUUACUAUCUUGUAGGCUGAAAGAUUUUCAGGGAAUACACCAACAAGUUUUUCCACUUCUUGGAUUCUUUUCCUCAGUUUUUAAAUUAUGAUGGUUUUCACCUAUGCUUCCCAGCUCCAUUAAAAAGUUGGUUUUGCUGAAAUAAACCUGCAUAUUUUUGUUUACUAAAUGUACUGAAUUUGUAAUUGUAGACCUUAAUUUGAUUAUAACCACUGUCCUUGAAUUUUCUUCACUCCUGUAUUACUAGAUUUCCUCACCACUACCACCACCAACACCACCACCACACACAUAAAGUCCCUGGCUGUUUCCAUUUUUAAUUCUGCUUUCCUGAGCUACAAAAGAGCCUUUGUUAUAUCCUCACAGGGAAUGUUGAUGCCUUGUGAAGUCUAAGGAUGGCUUUGUCAGAUAGAGUCUUGGCACAGCCUCAAAUAAGUACUCAAUCUUCAUAUGUUGAUGCUAUGUAUAGACAUGUGUGGUACUUUGUAGGCAUUUUGAAGACCAUCUCUGAUCUUUUUUCAAAUAAGAUAGUUCAAUUUUAACAUCAGAUUGAAGCUGUACAGAAUUUCAUUUUCAAUGGUUGAAAGUGGAUUUUAAUCAAAGGGUUAUCAUGAUGAUGAAAGGAAUUGUUUCUAGGAGACAUAAAAGUUUACAAAGCAAUUUUAUAUACAGGAUUCCAUAUGCUCUUUACAUUAAGCAUGUGGAAGUUUACUGUAUGAAUGUUAUAUUCAUUUUUCAGGUGAGCAAAUGGAUAACAAGAAAUCUUUAACAACUGACUCAAAGACAAACCACUAAAUUGAAACCCGUAAUCUUUGUCUCUAGUCCCUUCCAUUUUAUUCUCUUUUGUUUUUGUUUUUUUUUUUUGCACGUUGCAUUUUUGCAUUUCUAUAUCAGUUAGUGUAUUAUUUUAUUUGUGAAACAUUUUAAUGAAUUUUUCUAGGACACAAGGAUAGAAAAAUAAGCUGGAACUAAAUGAAAUUAAUGGUUAGUUCCAGUUAAUACUCAGAUACUUAAAAAAAAUCACCAGUUAAUUAAUUUAGUUCUGUCUUCAAACUAAUUUAUAUUUUUGAAUAUAGUUUCAGUUACUUAUGACCUAGAGUUUUUAAUGCCUAAUUCUGACCUACAGUGCUCUACUGGGUAAGAAAUACAGCCCCACACCAUAUCUGAACCUUCCUUAGUGGUCAUGAGGGUCUGUUUGACAAUAUAAUACAGCUUAGAAGCUUGGAAAAGGCCUGAUAUUUCAGAGGUUAGUAGCUUCUCAGACCAGGCUUUGGAGCUUGUCUUUCACCAAUAAGGCAACAAUAUACCUAACCUCUAAGGCUCAUUAAAAAAAAAAAUUCUAAAAAAGGAAAUGACUAGAGUAUCUCUAUCAUGUGUUUGUUAGAAACAUCUAAUAAAAUAAUACAUGAACAUUGCUCAGCACUGUGUGAUACCUUGCUCCUAGACACUUACCUUUCUAAAAUCAAAACGAAAAAAUCAAAGUUUCAAAUGUUUUGUGCCUUCAUUAUGAAAACCAAAUUCUGUGUGCGUGGCUUCAUACUCAAAAUCAUUCACAAUUUCAAUUUGUCUUAGCAUUUCAAUUUCACCUCCCACCCUGACUGACAAGUUUCUUCCCAACCACUCUAAAGUAACCACCAUCCUUUGUUACCUAAUCUGCUCUACAAUUCCUGUUUCACUAAGCAUUUGCAUUUUCUUUAUCCUGCUGCCAUUUUUUGGAAGAUCCUCUCCUCCUGCAAAAGUCCCUCAAUUCUUCAAUUGAAGUACAAUGAACAUUUAUUGCUUUGCUCUUCAUUCCCAAGCUGCUUCACCCCAAUCCCAUAUCCAUAGUAAUUUUUGUUAUAUUCAGGCCUUCAGCUGAUUGGGAGGGCAUUACAGAGGGCAGAUCACGUUAAGGACGGCAAACUCCUUUACUCAAUCGACCAAUUUAAGUGUUAAUGUCAUCUCAAAAUGCCCUUGCAGGAAGACUCUGAAUGUUUUACCAAAUAUCUGGGCAUCCCAUGGCCCAGUCAAGUUGACAAAAUAAAAUUAACCAUCACAGACUCCUUUGUUGAUCUUGCUCAUGUAACUUCACCCAAAUUGUUUUUAUCCCUGUGUUCUUUGACCUGGGAUUGAGAAUAACACAUCCAACCCCCUGCUUUGAUGUUAGUGUGCAAGAUGACAUCAUUUUAGGGAAUUCAUUGUAUCUAUUAGUAAGAUUGUUCAAUAGAAAAGUAGUACUUUUUUCAUUAUCAGCUUACAAAGAUGAAAAUAAAAAAAUAAAAUAAAUUUUAUCUCAAUGACCCUGAAGCCAAGAUGAAUUUUCAUCUUUUACAUGAAUGAAUAAAAAUAAUUUCCAGGCUGAGUGUAGU